GAUGAACGCUGGCGGCGUGCCUAAUACAUGCAAGUCGAGCGAACAGACGAGGAGCUUGCUCCUCUGACGUUAGCGGCGGACGGGUGAGUAACACGUGGAUAACCUACCUAUAAGACUGGGAUAACUUCGGGAAACCGGAGCUAAUACCGGAUAAUAUAUUGAACCGCAUGGUUCAAUAGUGAAAGACGGUGUUGCUGUCACUUAUAGAUGGAUCCGCGCCGCAUUAGCUCUUUGGUAAGGUAACGGCUUACAAAGGCAACGAUGAGUAGCAGACCUGAGAGGGUGAUCGGCCACACGGGAACUGAGGCACGGUCCAGACUCCUACGGGAGGCAGCAGUAGGGAAUCUUCCGCAACGGGCGAAAGCCUGACGGAGCAACGCCGCGUGAGUGAUGAAGGUCUUCGGAUCGUAAAACUCUGUUAUUAGGGAAGAACAAAUGUGUAAUUAACUAUGCACGUCUUGACGGUACCUUAUCAGAAAGCCACGGCUAACUACGUG
RNAcentral lists this ribosomal RNA (497 nucleotides) under uncultured bacterium. Its description in RNAcentral is "partial 16S ribosomal RNA". It matches the Rfam family "Bacterial small subunit ribosomal RNA", at positions 28 to 507 of the family's 1533-position model. The record is from RNAcentral.